AGGCCCAAAGAGAGAGGCAGGGUCUGAUCCGCAGCCUCCUUGGCAGCUGCUGAUCAGCCAUUGCUUCUCUCUCUCGGGACU
Myotis brandtii (Brandt's bat) is the source of this 81-nucleotide non-coding RNA. The record is from Rfam. NCBI's taxonomy places the organism in Eukaryota, Metazoa, Chordata, Mammalia, Chiroptera, Vespertilionidae.